This 302-nucleotide ribosomal RNA is filed under the name Aeromonas sp. Prich7-2. RNAcentral describes it as "partial 23S ribosomal RNA". It matches the Rfam family "Bacterial large subunit ribosomal RNA", at positions 1 to 309 of the family's 2925-position model. RNAcentral also lists the same sequence under 2 other names. Lineage: Bacteria; Pseudomonadati; Pseudomonadota; Gammaproteobacteria; Aeromonadales; Aeromonadaceae. The record is from RNAcentral.
GGUUAAGUGACUAAGCGUACAUGGUGGAUGCCUUGGCAGUCAGAGGCGAUGAAGGACGUACUAACCUGCGAUAAGCCGUGAGCAGUCGGUAAGAGACAUUACGACUCACGGAUUUCCGAAUGGGGAAACCCACUUAGCAUAAGCUAGGUAUCGCUACGUGAAUACAUAGCGUAGCGAGGCGAACCGGGAGAACUGAAACAUCUAAGUACCCCGAGGAAAAGAAAUCAACCGAGAUUCCCUCAGUAGCGGCGAGCGAACGGGGAUUAGCCCUUAAGCAUCUUGGAAGUUAGUGGAACGGUCCU